Long non-coding RNA from Archocentrus centrarchus (flier cichlid), 831 nucleotides. RefSeq lists it as uncharacterized. The record is from RefSeq and is a predicted model, not a curated record. NCBI's taxonomy places the organism in Eukaryota, Metazoa, Chordata, Actinopteri, Cichliformes, Cichlidae. The transcript has 3 exons.
GUGCUGUUAGCAGCUAAUGAAAACAAUGACCGCAAGGAUUAUAAUGUUUUGUUGUUUGCGCUUUAUAUGCGAUUUUACACGAUUUCUGCGAACCUGCUGGAGGAAGGAUAUAGUGCUCUGGGGACAUGUUGAAUGCAUGAUAUACAGGAGUUCUUCCAAGUCAAAGAAAAGGAAACAGGACCGCUGUGUAUGAGGCUUGGAUCCCUGUAAACCAGUCAGAGAACUACGUCCUCACAGCGAAUUGUACCUGCAUGGCAGGGGGCAGAACUGGCACCUUUUUAUGUGACUGACCCAGCUGCAGCCUCAGGUGGAUCAGGACAAGAUUCAGCUCCCUGAACAGCUUCUACAAUGGCUGAAAAUUAUGCCAAGACAUUGUGUGGACAUCGUCAAACAAAUUUUUGUUUUAAGCUUCAUGCUCUUUUUUCAAACCUGUUUAGAUUUCAUUGCUAGCUGGCCAUCACCAGCCACAGUGGGAGAAACAUAACCCUAACCUAAAGGACCUAACCCUAAAGGACUACAGGUAUACCUGUGAUCACGGCCCCUCGUCUGUGACCCACUGUGUGUGUGUAAAUAUAUAAGGGGGGGUGGGAGCGGGGUGCUGUGUGAGCCUCUGGCACGCCUUCAGCAGCAUUCAGGUUUAUUUCAGGCUUUCAACUUGCCAAUGGAAACAUAAACAUCAUCCUGCCUCACAGACCCUAAAGCUGUAAUGGACUGUUUAAUAAUGCACAGUAACGUGCCCUUUUUGGCCUGUUGGAAAUAAAAGUUGGAUAGAUCAUGCAAAGGAGGCAAGGAGCAGUCCUGCCUUCUCACUGCUCUCAUUCCUCUCACAUG